Molecule: ribosomal RNA, 318 nt
Filed under: Galapaganus darwini
Lineage: Eukaryota; Metazoa; Arthropoda; Insecta; Coleoptera; Curculionidae
Description: partial 12S ribosomal RNA
Source: RNAcentral
UUUGAUACCCUAUUAUUUUGAACUAGAUUGAUAUUACCAGGUUAGUAGUAGUUAUGUGCUUGAAAAUUAAAGAAGAUGGCGGUAUUUUAGUCUAUUCAGAGGAACCUGUCCUAUAAUCGAUGAUCCACGAUUUAUUAUACUUAUUUUAUAAGUUUGCAUAUCGCCGUAGAUUGAAUGUCCUUGAAGGGAUUUAAACAUUCAAGAGGUUUUUAUUUGUGAAAUUAAAUCAGGUCAAGAUGUAGCUAAUAAAUAAGAAGAGAUGGGUUACAAUAAAUUUAUUUAUAACGGAUUAAUAUAUGAAAUUUGGGAAAAGGCGGA